GACGAGGGGUCCAAGCGUUGUUCGGAAUUAUUGGGCGUAAAGGGUGUGUAGGUGGCGCCGUAAGUCGGGUGUGAAAUUUCGGAGCUUAACUCCGAAACUGCAUUCGAUACUGCGGUGCUUGAGGACUGGAGAGGAGACUGGAAUUCAUGGUGUAGCAGUGAAAUGCGUAGAGAUCAUGAGGAAGACCAGUGGCGAAGGCGGGUCUCUGGACAGUUCCUGACACUGAGACACGAAGGCCAGGGGAGCAAACGGG
Molecule: ribosomal RNA, 253 nt
Filed under: uncultured bacterium
Lineage: Bacteria
Description: partial 16S ribosomal RNA
Rfam family: Bacterial small subunit ribosomal RNA
Source: RNAcentral